UACGGAGGGUGCGAGCGUUAAUCGGACUGACUGGGCGUAAAGGGCGCGUAGGCGGUCUGUCAAGUUAGAUGUGAAAUGUCAGGGCUUAACCUUGUCGCUGCAUCUAAGACUGAUAGACUAGAGUACAGUAGAGGGCAGUGGAAUUUCCAGUGUAGCGGUGAAAUGCGUAGAUAUUGGAAGGAACACCAGUGGCGAAGGCGACUGUCUGGACUGAAACUGACGCUGAGGCGCGAAAGCGUGGGUAGCAAACAGG
Molecule: ribosomal RNA, 253 nt
Filed under: uncultured bacterium
Lineage: Bacteria
Description: partial 16S ribosomal RNA
Rfam family: Bacterial small subunit ribosomal RNA
Source: RNAcentral